Spodoptera frugiperda (fall armyworm) is the source of this 273-nucleotide long non-coding RNA. RefSeq lists it as uncharacterized. Lineage: Eukaryota; Metazoa; Arthropoda; Insecta; Lepidoptera; Noctuidae. The record is from RefSeq and is a predicted model, not a curated record. The transcript has 2 exons.
ACCACCGCCUCUACUGUCGCGGGUGUCAUAUACCCAUGUACAGCUCGCCAAGGACGAGUUCCUGCUGCGGAGGCAUCAGAUGCUCGUCCGACAUGACAAGGAGCUCGAGCAGAUCAAGAGGUAUGUGUGUAUUACGAAACACCACCGCCUCUACUGUCGCGGGUGUCAUAUACCCAUGUACAGCUCGCCAAGCGGCAGCUCAAGGACGAGUUCCUGCUGCGAAGGCAUCAGAUGCUCGUCCGACAUGACAAGGAGCUCGAGCAGAUCAAGAGG